Molecule: ribosomal RNA, 253 nt
Filed under: uncultured bacterium
Lineage: Bacteria
Description: partial 16S ribosomal RNA
Rfam family: Bacterial small subunit ribosomal RNA
Source: RNAcentral
CGAAGCCGCGAGGUGGAGCGAAUCCCAAAAAGACCGGUCUAAGUUCGGAUUGCAGGCUGCAACCCGCCUGACAUGAAGUCGGAAUCGCUAGUAAUCGCGAGUCAGCAUAUCGCGGUGAAUACGUUCCCGGGUCUUGUACACACCGCCCGUCACACCAUGGGAGUUGGCAACACCCGAAGUCGAUGAGCUAACCGCAAGGAGGCAGUCGCCUAAGGUGGGGUUGAUAACUGGGGUGAAGUCGUAACAAGGUAUC